CGACCGGUGCUUGCACUGGUCAAUCUAGUGGCGAACGGGUGAGUAACACGUGGGUAACCUGCCCAUCAGAGGGGGAUAACAUUCGGAAACGGAUGCUAAAACCGCAUAGGUCCUUUAACCGCAUGGUUGAAGGAGGAAAAGAGGCGCAAGCUUCUGCUGAUGGAUGGACCCGCGGUGCAUUAGCUAGUUGGUGAGGUAACGGCUCACCAAGGCCGUGAUGCAUAGCCGACCUGAGAGGGUGAUCGGCCACAUUGGGACUGAGACACGGCCCAAACUCCUACGGGAGGCAGCAGUAGGGAAUCUUCCGCAAUGGACGCAAGUCUGACGGAGCAACGCCGCGUGAGUNAAGAAGGUUUUCGGAUCGUAAAACUCUGUUGUUAGAGAAGAACAAGUGCUAGAGUAACUGUUAGCGCCUUGACGGUAUCUAACCAGAAAGCCACGGCUAACUACGUGCCAGCAGCCGCGGUAAUACGUAGGUGGCAAGCGUUGUCCGGAUUUAUUGGGCGUAAAGCGAGCGCAGGCGGUUCCUUAAGUCUGAUGUGAAAGCCCCCGGCUCAACCGGGGAGGGUCAUUGGAAACUGGGGAACUUGAGUGCAGAAGAGGAGAGUGGAAUUCCAUGUGUAGCGGUGAAGUGCGUAGAUAUAUGGAGGAACACCAGUGGCGAAGGCGACUCUCUGGUCUGUAACUGACGCUGAGGCUCGAAAGCGUGGGUAGCAAACAGGAUUAGAUACCCUGGUAGUCCACGCCGUAAACGAUGAG
This 759-nucleotide ribosomal RNA is filed under the name uncultured Granulicatella sp. Its description in RNAcentral is "bacterial SSU rRNA". It matches the Rfam family "Bacterial small subunit ribosomal RNA", at positions 70 to 813 of the family's 1533-position model. The record is from RNAcentral. Lineage: Bacteria; Bacillati; Bacillota; Bacilli; Lactobacillales; Carnobacteriaceae.